Molecule: long non-coding RNA, 428 nt
Organism: Sciurus carolinensis (gray squirrel)
Lineage: Eukaryota; Metazoa; Chordata; Mammalia; Rodentia; Sciuridae
Exons: 4
Source: RefSeq, a predicted model, not a curated record
UAUUGCCUCUUAUUCUCCUUGCAGGGUUGCCUCUCCCUUGAAGAUCCAGGGUGUGUGGAGGAUGGUGGGUGGAAGAGAGAAUUCAGUUGAAGUACAAUGGGUAACAGCUGCAGUAGCCUGUUUGAGGGGAUUCUCACAGGAGAGCAAGGAAGAGUGCCUCACACAUGCCAGGUCCACUGAGCCCCAGAUGGAACCCACAGCACCUCGCUUUCCAGCCCCAGAUAGUCCUGCAACUGGCGUACACCAGCUCUCCUGAAUACUUGUUAGCUGUUGACAUGGAGGCUGGAGCUCAAGCAGCCAUCUUGAACCAUGAGUUCAGAGACAAGUUCUGAGAAUAGCAGUCCAGAUAGAAGGAUCCUGGAUCCCUGAUGACAUUAAGAAGGUCCCCUAGUACUCCUGCACUAUCAAAAUCUCCCUCAGACUUUUCC